CAGUGUCAUCCUGCAGAAUAAAGAAUCCCUGACGGAUAAAGUCAUCCUGGAUGUGGGCUGUGGGACUGGGAUCAUCAGUCUCUUCUGUGCACACUAUGCGCGGCCUAAAGCGGAGAGUAGAUGACGGGCUGUGUGCCGGCCGGAUGUGUGCUGACGGUGCCUCUGCUGCUGCAGGUGUACGCGGUGGAGGCCAGUGAGAUGGCACAGCACACGGGGCAGCUGGUCCUGCAGAACGGCUUUGCCGACAUCAUCACCGUGUACCAGCAGAAGGUGGAGGAUGUGGUGCUGCCCGAGAAGGUGGACGUGCUGGUGUCUGAGUGGAUGGGGACCUGCCUGCUGGUGAGGGCGGGCGUGCGGGCAGCUGGGGGCCCGAGAAGGUGGACGUGCUGGUGUCUGAGUGGAUGGGGACCUGCCUGCUGGUGAGGGCGGGCGUGCGGGCAGCUGGGGGCCGGAGCUGGGGGGCUUCCGAGCACGGGCUCGGCUGGGCCAACCUCAGGAUCUCAAGGGUCGUGCGUGAUUCAUUUUGAUGUUUUCCCUAAUGUGAGGUCUAAUUAAUUUCUUGUGUGGACAUUG
Molecule: small RNA, 573 nt
Filed under: Pan troglodytes (chimpanzee)
Lineage: Eukaryota; Metazoa; Chordata; Mammalia; Primates; Hominidae
Description: processed transcript
Source: RNAcentral